Molecule: long non-coding RNA, 1697 nt
Organism: Brassica oleracea var. oleracea
Lineage: Eukaryota; Viridiplantae; Streptophyta; Magnoliopsida; Brassicales; Brassicaceae
Exons: 8
Source: RefSeq, a predicted model, not a curated record
GCAAUCAAACACAACCUGGAUACUGUAUAAUAAUUAAUCAGUCAUCACUAUCAUAUGCAAUUUUUGAUCGUUAAGUAGAAACAAGUUUCAUCACUUGCUUAUCGAUUACACAAAGCUUGGCUACUUCUUUUGGUCAAACUAUGUCUGACAAUCAUCAUGUCAAACUAUGUCUUACAAUCAUCAUCAUAUUUUUCUUUGUGAGCCAGAAUCAAUUACGAGGCAGAUAUAUGACAAGCUCAGACUCUAGUACAAGCUCUAGAAGACAUAUGACAAGCUCAGACUCUGGUACAAGCUCUAGCUGACGUGAUCACGGUCCGCACAUCUCCUGCUGACUUCAUCGUUGCCAAUCGCGAGCUCACCACAGACCUCAGCAACUCAACAGCACAAGCCGGCACAUUUCUCAACAUCAUCAUAGCCUGACGAACACACAAGCCAACAACUUGCUUGGCACACACGAUCUCAACACGAGACUUCGGGUCAGCAAUAGUUUGAUAUUGUUGGAGAAGUGAAGGGGUUUCGAGCCAUCUUCUAUGACAAAACUCAGACAGCUCAGCACAUCAUAGCGAAUAUCAUAAUUGAGAGGGAUGUAUUUUCCUUAACGCUACCUCUGGGACUCAGUUCUAUUCCGACGAUGAGAGCUACUAUCACAAGAACUACUUGGAAAGGCACUUUCCCAAUGAAGAAGUAUCGGCCUCCAACUCUACGAAGUAUGGGGGUGUGAGGAAGAUUGAUUCUUUGACUGUCUUGGAGUGAAAUGCAUAUAUGAUUACUCCAAGCCCACAGACAGCUGAAUUCAUAUGCACUGUUAAAGUGUAGGAGAUAUAUACUGAUAAUGGAUGGUCCUACAUAUCAUGUUCUAAGUAUGUACGUAAAUUGCAAAGGAGAUUAUCGUCCUUCACCAGCUUGCAAUAAUGAAAACGCAGUCGGAGUUGUUAGGUGCAUAUUGCAGAUGGUAGUAUCGGAUGCAUCUGACACCGCUGUCUUUGUCGCAUUUGACACUACAAUGACUCAGGUAAUGAAUGUGCAUGUGCGUGCUGCUGAAGUCUCCCAACUCCUGGACGUUGUAUGGAAGACGUACAUGGCAGAGCCCUCAAAAAAUUGUUAGCUGUACCUUAACCUUCCAGUUGAAGCUCACACCAUUCAAUUUCUAUACAAAACAUCAGAGAUGUACUAUCUCAAGCAUUUACGAUCACCACCAGCGCAACCCCUUGAUGAUUUUUCUGCUCAGGGAGGUAACAACCAUCCUGAUAAUGAUAUUCCAGGUGCUGGUUCAAAGGUGAAGAGUUGUACUGAUGUGAAGAACAAUGUUCCCGUGAACAUGAGAUGUUGCAAUAAUGGUGGGGCGUUGAAUGGAUACGCCAGGAAGCUGUUCAGAAUGCGGUCCCUGUUGUUUCUGCCCCAACCUCCGAAUUUCCAUGGGCUACUGAUGACAGACCUACUGGGGAGAAGGCCUGGACUGAUUAGACUCGCAGCUUUUUGAGUCUACUAUCCUUUACUUGACUCUCACCUCUUAGAUGCACUGCAGUCUUUUUUUACUUUUGUUUUUUUAAUGAAUAAUUUCCCUUCAGUUUCUUCUCUGUUAAUGUGUUUUCCACCUAAGCUUCUACUCUGUUCAAUGAGUUUGCAAUGGUUUACGAUGGUUACUAUAAACUUUGUUCGACAAAUCGUUAUAGGCAGAAAAUAUUUAUGUCGCACCA